Molecule: long non-coding RNA, 692 nt
Filed under: Mustela putorius furo (domestic ferret)
Lineage: Eukaryota; Metazoa; Chordata; Mammalia; Carnivora; Mustelidae
Description: lncRNA (ENSMPUG00000031610.1)
Source: RNAcentral
AUGGCCAGGCACUGGUGUAGUGGGCAGCUUGGAUCCAAUAGUCUUGGAGUCCUAUUCUUUUCUCUACCUCUUCUGGCUGGGGAAUGUGAAGGACGCACAGCAGCAAUAUUGUUUGGUGAGGGUCGCAGAUCCACCUUCUACCACCCUUGUUUGAAGACCCUCCCAGGGUCCCCUUACACUGGGCCUGUUCCCCCCAGAGGCCAAGCAAAGAAUCAGAAACUGCAGGGAUCUGGAGAGGUGAUGGAAAAGUGAAAAGUAUAAUGCUUAUAGACAGAAGCAUAGAAGAAAAUAAUUAGCCACAAUGGUACCUCUUUGAGACUAACUGAAAGCUUAGUGACACCGUCUGCAUUCACCUCUCAGCCCUCAGAAACUGCUCUUACUUCAGAAGUUGCUUCUACCACAUGAAAUGCUGUAAAUCUGAUGUUUUAAUCUUCCCCCUUAGAAGACAGUGUUUGCUUAAUUACACUUGUGUUAUAUUAAAAUGUUAGCAUAUUUCCUUUCUUGUGUCUACUUUUUUUUAUCAGCAAAUAUAAAGACAUAUACUGUGGUUAGGGAUAUGAUUCCACACAAUAAAAGAAAUUUUGGAAAAAGUGGUAUGAUUGUAUUUUUUUGGAAGCUAUACAUUCGUAUGUUUUCUGUGUGAUUUUGGAGGUGGGAAGGAACCCACAAAUAUUGGCUAAAUUAAUAUUCUC